UCGUGAUUGGUCAGUCGCUCAGUACGGUUCUCGGAAAUGUCCCGCCCCUUUUACCAUAUUGGGAAUGCAGCUACUGGCUCCGAGGGGGAGCAAAAACAUCGGUAUGCAAACGGAAAUGGCAACUUCACCAAUCUGACAGAGAGGAGGAACAAACACAACAACCUUUGCCACGAAGGCAUGAGCACGACGUUUCAGUGUUGUAGGUAUUUAUUUUGCAGCAUACGUUAGCCUCUUCCAAUUUCACUGACUGGAGCUACCAGCAUAUUUCCCUAAUCCAAAAAUAUAUAUCUUACUUGUGGCUUCACAAAGUUUGGCUUUAUUACAAUAUGAUUAUUGACCACAAAUGUGUUCUGUACAAUACAUUUUAUUGUAUUUACAUUAGUACUGUACGUUGUUUAUUGCAGCGACUCACCUUGUUCUGCAUUGUAUAUCACCUCCUUGAUGUGAUUAAAAAUUCAAUGAGCAAUUGUAAGUAUCAAUGACAUCAUAGACUUACUUUGACUACAAAAGCCCAGGUGAUAAUCACGUGUUUGUUGGAUCAAUAUCUCAUGCAAUAAUGUUUCCUCCUCUGUCAUUAUUUUCCUUCUUAUUGAACAUUAUUUCAUUUUAAUCAGUAUCUUCUUCUUUCAUCAGGAGAAUGAAUCCGCUGCCUGUUCCUUGUACCAAAAACAUCCAGGACUGUUUAAACCCAUAUACACUUCAAAACAUCCACAACAUCUUCAGAGGAGAACAUCACAGAGAACUGCAGAAGAGCUGUGCAGACACUUGGCAGUGGUUGGAGUGGUUAUCCGGUCGUGUGUCGUCCUGAGGAUUCACCCCGAGUUUCCUGACCCGACUGGACAGUAUGUUGGCUUCCACCCGCCCCUUGACUACACCUGGACACGUGUCGAGCCACCCCUCCUUCUUUUUUCGAGUC
Labrus bergylta (ballan wrasse) is the source of this 916-nucleotide non-coding RNA. The record is from RefSeq and is a predicted model, not a curated record. NCBI's taxonomy places the organism in Eukaryota, Metazoa, Chordata, Actinopteri, Labriformes, Labridae.